GAUGAAGAACGCAGCGAAAUGCGAUAAGUAAUAUGAAUUGCAGAUUUUCGUGAAUCAUCGAAUCUUUGAACGCACAUUGCACCCUCUGGUAUUCCAGAGGGUAUGCCUGUUUGAGCGUCAUUUCUCUCUCAAACCCUCGGGUUUGGUAUUGAGUGAUACUCUUAGUCGAACUAGGCGUUUGCUUGAAAUAUAUUGGCACGAGUAGUGUUGAACAGUGUUGUCUGAACAUCAAUGUAUUAGGUUUAUCCAACUCGUUGAUACAGGUGGUACGAUUCUUCAUUAGGCUUUGCCUUAUAAAACACAAACAAGUUUGACCUCAAAUCAGGUAGGAUUACCCGCUGAACUUAAGCAUAUCAAUAAGCGGAGGA
This 368-nucleotide unclassified non-coding RNA is filed under the name soil metagenome. RNAcentral describes it as "partial contains 5.8S ribosomal RNA, internal transcribed spacer 2, and large subunit ribosomal RNA". The stretch from base 1 to 120 matches the Rfam family "5.8S ribosomal RNA", at positions 35 to 154 of the family's 154-position model. The record is from RNAcentral.